GACAGAGGGUGCAAACGUUGUUCGGAUUUACUGGGCGUAAAGCGCGUGUAGGCGGCUUGGCAAGUCGGAUGUGAAAGCCCACGGCUCAACCGUGGGAGCGCAUCCGAAACUGCUUCGCUCGAGUCUCGGAGAGGAAGGUGGAAUGCUUGGUGUAGAGGUGAAAUUCGUAGAUAUCAAGCAGAACACCUGCGGCGAAGGCGGCCUUCUGGACGAUGACUGACGCUGAGACGCGAAAGCGUGGGGAGCAAACAGG
Molecule: ribosomal RNA, 253 nt
Filed under: uncultured bacterium
Lineage: Bacteria
Description: partial 16S ribosomal RNA
Rfam family: Bacterial small subunit ribosomal RNA
Source: RNAcentral